This 307-nucleotide ribosomal RNA is filed under the name Clostridioides difficile. RNAcentral describes it as "partial 23S ribosomal RNA". It matches the Rfam family "Bacterial large subunit ribosomal RNA", at positions 1290 to 1593 of the family's 2925-position model. Lineage: Bacteria; Bacillati; Bacillota; Clostridia; Peptostreptococcales; Peptostreptococcaceae. The record is from RNAcentral.
GAGAAUGUUGGCAUGAGUAGCGAGAUGUGGGUGAGAAUCCCACAGGCCGUAAACCCAAGGUUUCCAGGGGAAGGUUCGUCCGCCCUGGGUUAGUCGGGACCUAAGCUGAGGCCGAAAGGCGUAGGUGAUGGACAACAGGUUGAUAUUCCUGUACUACCGAUAACCGUUUGAGAGAAGGGAUGACACAGUAGGAUAAGCUAAGCACACUGUUGGUUAUGUGUGCCCAAGCAUUGAGGCGGUCAAAGUAGGCAAAUCCGCUUUGAUAAUGCUGGGAUGUGAUGGGGAGCGAAAUUUAGUAGCGAAGUAG